Molecule: unclassified non-coding RNA, 24 nt
Filed under: synthetic construct
Description: RNA 2 from synthetic construct (PDB 7Q80, chain B)
Source: RNAcentral
GGAAGCUCUGACCGACCCCCAGCC